Non-coding RNA from Tetranychus urticae (two-spotted spider mite), 73 nucleotides. Lineage: Eukaryota; Metazoa; Arthropoda; Arachnida; Trombidiformes; Tetranychidae. The record is from the annotation of a RefSeq genome assembly.
GUCCUCGUAGUGUAGUGGUUAUCACAUCUGCUUAACACGCAGAAGGUCCCAGGUUCGAGACCUGGCGAGGACA